This 205-nucleotide ribosomal RNA is filed under the name uncultured bacterium. RNAcentral describes it as "partial 16S ribosomal RNA". It matches the Rfam family "Bacterial small subunit ribosomal RNA", at positions 568 to 773 of the family's 1533-position model. The record is from RNAcentral.
CACGUAGGCGGCUCAGCAAAUCAGUCGUGGAAUCCCGACGCUUACCGUCGGAACGGCGGCUGAAAAUACUGGGCUUGAGGGCGUGAGGGGUCACUGGAACUCCCGGUGAAGCGGUGAAAUGCGUAGAUAUCGGGAGGAACGCCGGAGGCGAAAGCGAGUGACUGGCGCGUUCCUGACGCUGAGGUGCGAAAGUGGGAGGGCGAAC